CCUGAGUUCAAUCCCUGGUACACACCCACUCCCAAAAAAAUUGCGAUUCCCCUUAGAAAAGGAACAUGUUUAAAGGUGUUGCCAGGUAGGGCUGUUUUUUUAAAAAGCAGAUUCUUUGCACCAGAACAAUAAAAAAGAUGCCUUGAGAGCAUCUCAGAAUCUUCCAAGACUCCACCUAUCACAGGCUUUUCAAAAGUUACAGAGUAUAAUCUUAUGUUCUUUUGAGGAGAGCCCAGGGUGCACAGAACAAUUUAGGGAAUGGUUUCCCUGGGAUUUGCCUGUGUUGAACCCUCAAGGCCCUGCAGCCUGGUUGAAGUGGGCCCUGGUGUAGCUCAUGCUGGAAGCAGGCCUUGACAUAAUCCACAGGAUGCUGGUUUUACAGGCAUCUAGAAUGCAAGACUCAUGGGGUCUUGGAAGCUUCCACUGAGAUUUCAAAGGAGAGCAUGGGAGGCUAGGCAGUGUGUGGCAGGGUCAGUUUCUGCAAGCAGCCCCUACUGCAGAACACAGAGUGAAGCCGAAGCUACAGUGGAUACCCCAGGAAGCCGAAGAUGCCAGAAUGAGGAAUGCCUGCUGAGGAAAUCCAGAAGCAGCAAGCAGAACUAACUGAAGAGAGUGGCCGUGGUGGCUGCAGCCAGCAAGUUGUAGGGGUGGUACUCUCCAAGCCCUUCGGUAGUCACAUCACCACCAUGUGCCCUGGAUGCUGGGCACGAAGCUAUAGCACUUAAUGUUUGCUCUGCUAAGUUUCAGUCUUGGUCUGAUGCUGUCCAUGCCCUUACUCCUUCUCUUGGGAAUGGGAA
RNAcentral lists this long non-coding RNA (797 nucleotides) under Marmota monax (woodchuck). The record is from RNAcentral. Lineage: Eukaryota; Metazoa; Chordata; Mammalia; Rodentia; Sciuridae.